UCUAUGUGUCCAAUGAUUCAUUCAAGUAUUAUUAUUGUUAUACGUACAUAUGGUAUUAUAACUAUUAUUGUUCAGUAUUGAGUGGCAAGCUAGCCAUGGUAACUGGUCAUGGUAUAUAUGCUAAUAGACCUGCAAUGCAAAUCAUUAAAGACCAUAGCAUGACCUAGCUGUUACUAUGGCUAGCUUCACCAGUGCUGACAGUAAUUAUAAUUAUACAUACAAAAACAAGAAGUUAUAAGCAUUGAAGGAAUUCAUAUAAAUUUGGCAUGCCAAGAAAGUAGAAUAUUUAGCUGACCUUUGACUUUGUGCAAGGUGUUUGGUAUUCAAAUUGCACUUUCCUUACCUCCUGAACAGGCAUCUUAGGCUAAGGGGCUGUUUACAUGAUGGAAUGUGGGAUGAUUUUGAUGUAUUGAAAUACGUCCAUAGGCUAAAUGAAAGUCCAAAUGCUGGUUAACAAAACUCAAAUGUUGUAGAGCAGAUCUUGUAGUUCAAGAAGAUUAUUAUUGCUGCUUGAACAACCUUUCAGUUUACAGAUAACUAUUGCUAUCUCUCGAAAAUAAUGAAGUUUUUUGCUGAAGUGUACACCGUGACUUAUACAUCUAAAUCAUCCCGCCUCAUAUAUCAUCCUGGCAAAGCGGGAUCAUAAAAACAGCCCCUUAUUCAGCAAAUUGUGCAUGCUGCCUUUGACCCCUUGGGGGUGAGGCAGCACUUUCCUUGCGAUAGUAACUUCUAGUCUUAUUGCUAAUUUAGCUUGAAUAUUCGAUUUUAUUAUAUGGACAAUUGUGUGAACUCAGAGGUGUGAACCAGUGGUGUGAACUCAUACGUCACUACAUCCGGGACCAGGUGCGUGUAUUUUCCGUAUUCUUUGACCCCUGCAAGUUCGAAAAUUUCCCGCCAUUUUCAUUGUUGUUUUGAAAAUACAAAAUUAUGGUCGAAAUUAAC
This is a non-coding RNA of Paramuricea clavata, 942 nucleotides long. The record is from the annotation of a GenBank genome assembly. Lineage: Eukaryota; Metazoa; Cnidaria; Anthozoa; Malacalcyonacea; Plexauridae.